This 433-nucleotide ribosomal RNA is filed under the name uncultured bacterium. RNAcentral describes it as "partial 16S ribosomal RNA". It matches the Rfam family "Bacterial small subunit ribosomal RNA", at positions 29 to 507 of the family's 1533-position model. The record is from RNAcentral.
AACGAACGCUGGCGGCAGGCCUAACACAUGCAAGUCGAGCGCGCCCUUCGGGGUGAGCGGCGGACGGGUGAGUAACGCGUGGGAACGUGCCCUUUUCUACGGAAUAGCCUCGGGAAACUGAGAGUAAUACCGUAUACGCCCUUUGGGGGAAAGAUUUAUCGGAAAAGGAUCGGCCCGCGUUGGAUUAGGUAGUUGGUGGGGUAAUGGCCUACCAAGCCGACGAUCCAUAGCUGGUUUGAGAGGAUGAUCAGCCACACUGGGACUGAGACACGGCCCAGACUCCUACGGGAGGCAGCAGUGGGGAAUCUUAGAAAAUGGGGGCAACCCUGAUCUAGCCAGGCCGCGUGAGUGAUGAAGGCAUUAGGGUUGUAAAGCUCUUUCAGCUGGGAAGAUAAUGACGGUACCAGCAGAAGAAGCCCCGGCUAACUCCGUG